CUCCUUUUGUGAGGAAUGGGAUAUUCCGACUCCUUAAGGGCCAGGCGCACAUAAGGGCCACAUCUGCCAGAGCCUGGAGUCUGCGAAGGCCGGGACCCGGUUCCCCGGCCCACCGUGGGGGGGGGUGUGCAAACCCGAGAGAACUGGUCGCUGAAACCUCUACAACUUAGUUGACCGUAACUGCCAGAGCCCUGCCCUGAAUUCCUGUCCUUACUCCCUCUUUAAGAUUGCGUACCCACUGCAGAGUGCUGAAGACGGGGUAGCCACGAGGUUGCAAAUUCGUGAAGAAUCAGCAUCAUGUUUGGCAGCUGAGUAUUGGAGCCAGGAGCCUGCCAUGAGGUUUUGAGAACAGAGUGCUGUUUUAGAGCUGGCAGCAGCAUCUCAGCCCAAGAGAAGGUUAUAUUCCCAGAGGAUGUCAGUCCCAAGGACCAGUAGCUGCCAUCAGUUUGGAUUCUGAAAACUAACCGGCAUCAACACUGGGUGUAGAAACAUGCUUGCCUUAUGUAUCAGAGGACAUGCUCAGCAGAUCCAAGAGAUAUAUUUGGCAACUUUUUCUAGAAAAGGCACAUUGGGUAUCAUUCAUUACAUUCUUGAGUUUUUUUGGUUUUUUUUUUUUUUUUUUUUUGAGACAGUCUUGCUGUAUUGCCCAGGCUGGAGUGUGGUGGCACAAUCACAGCUCAUUGCAUCCUCAAUCACCCAGGCCUAAGCAAUCCUCCCACCUUGUAGCUGGGACUAUAGCUCACAGCACACCUGGCUAAAAUUUUUUUUUU
This 770-nucleotide non-coding RNA is filed under the name Pan troglodytes (chimpanzee). Lineage: Eukaryota; Metazoa; Chordata; Mammalia; Primates; Hominidae. The record is from RNAcentral.